RNAcentral lists this ribosomal RNA (468 nucleotides) under uncultured bacterium. RNAcentral's name for it is "partial 16S ribosomal RNA". It matches the Rfam family "Bacterial small subunit ribosomal RNA", at positions 28 to 507 of the family's 1533-position model. The record is from RNAcentral.
GACGAACGCUGGCGGCGUGCCUAACACAUGCAAGUCGAACGGAAAGGCCCUGCUUUUGUUGGGUUCUCGAGUGGCGAACGCGUGAGUAACACGUGUGUAACCUGCCCUUGUCUUUCGGAUAACUUCAGGAAACUGGGGCUAAUACCGGAUAGGAUCUCCUGCUCCAUGGUGGGCGUUGGAAAGUUUCGGCGGUUGGGGAUGGACUCGCGGCUUAUCCGCUUGUUGGUGGGGUAGUUGCUUACCAAGGCUUAGACGGGUAGCCGGCCUGUGAGGGUGGACGGCGACAAGGGGACUAAGGGACGGAGCAGACGGGAACGGGAGGCAGCAGGGGGGAGUAUGACACAGUGGGCGGGAGUGAGAGACGAAAACGCCGGGUGCGGAAAGACGGCCUUCGGGUUAAGAACAGCUGUCGCCUGUGACGAAGCGUGAGUGACGGUAAUGGAUAAAGAAGCACCGGCUAACUACGUG